Molecule: long non-coding RNA, 1252 nt
Filed under: Equus caballus (horse)
Lineage: Eukaryota; Metazoa; Chordata; Mammalia; Perissodactyla; Equidae
Description: lncRNA (ENSECAG00000052291.1)
Source: RNAcentral
GAGGAGCACAGGAUGCUGUGGAGCCUGGCAAAGGCAAAGAAGAGAGCUUUCUGGACUCUCUCUGGCAGCCCUGCUGGCAUCUUGACUUUGUCCACUGAGAUCCAUUUCAGACUUCUGAACUAUGGAAGUUUUAAUUGUGGAUUUUCCCUCUCUUUCCACCUAAUUGGCAAUGAUCAGAUGUGUGGCAACAUACUGAUGGAUGACACCUACCUGGCGGUGAGGGGGACCACCCACCCUCGUUGUUGCUGGAACUGGAGAACUGGUCCAGCCUCCUUGAAGCACAACUCGGUGAGAUGUAUCAACACUCGCUGGGUGAAAAGCCUUGGACUCAGCCCCUCCUCCUAUUUACCUGCAUAUUCUCACACCUGUGAAAUAACCCAAAGGCAAGCGGUGGAGUUUACUAACAAAAGAGUAGAAACAGCAUAAGUGUCCGUGCAGGGUCUGUCGAUUGUAUAGAUUGCAAUACAGCCGCAAAAUGGAACACUAUGGAGCUAUUUAGAAAGUCAGCUCGCUCUUUAUGUACUGGCAUGGAAUGAUUUCUGAGAUGUUUUUUGAAGACAAUGAGUCCAGGUGGAGGAACGAGUGAGUAGCAGGCUAUCACCUGUGUCAGGAAGGGAUGGAGAGGUUCCAUGUGUAUUUUCCCAUCUGUGGAUGGCCUGUCUGUGGAGGUGACACAAGGAACGUGAUGUGGUUUGUCUUUGAGGAGAAUAACGAGAAGCUCUGAGGAUGCUGGCAGGGGGCGUUUUCAUUACCCUCCUACCUUUCACUUAAUGCCUUAAAUUCUUCUGGAAAACCAUGCUGUUAGGUUAAAAGCCAUUACACCAAAAUUAUUUUCAUUGUUUUUAAUGGCGAAUCAUAACGUCCUCCAUCGUGACCCAAGACAGCAAUUUGCACAGUUGAAAAAACAUUUCGAUGGAAUAUUGGAAACAAUUUUAGAUAUGUAGUAAACGACAGUAAAGAAAUGCCAUUUUCAUGUACAAAUGUAAGGAAGGUUUACUCCCUGAGGAGGAGGAAGAGGAAACUUGAGGAGGAGGUGGGUGAGGAAGAGCCCUGGGGGUCCUUCUGGGGAAGGGGCCCUCUUUCUGUACCAUUUUCUUCAUCCAUUUUCAACCAUUUUGAGUCUUGUAGUUAUUUUGUCCCCAAAUGCCGCUUAAAAAUAAAGUUCUAUUGCAGGAAAGCAUCCUUAGGGCAAAAUCAAGGCUACACACGAGAAGGUUGGAGAUGCGAGAAGACAGCGCCCCAGGGCCGGAGA